GAGUUACCUUUUCUGGUUUCUCCUCUUCACCUGUUGGUUCUUCAGGUUUCACCUCUUCAACUGCUGGCUCUUCAGGUUUUUCUUCACAUGCUAGUUCAUUAGGUGUUUCUUCCCGUGUUGAUUCUUUGGGUGUCUCUUCAGUUAUUGUCUUUUCAGGUUUCUCUUCAACCUUUGGUUCUUCAAGUUUCUCCUCUGCCAAUGGUUCUUCAAAUUUCUCCUCCACAGUUGGUUUUUCACGUUCUUCUUCAACUGCCAGUUCUUCAAGUUUUUUCUCAACCGCUGGUUCUUCAGGCUUCUCCAUAACAGCCAAUACUUCAGAUUUUUCUUCAAUCAUUGUUUCAUCAUUAUCUUUUUCAACUACUAGUUCUUGAGGUUUUUCCUCGACUGAUUCAUAGUCAGCAAUAUCAUUGUUGGUAUUGCAAGGAAUUGCAUUAUCUAUCUUGUCCUUUGGGUCUUCCAUUGGAAAAUUCUGCAAGAAAUUUAGAGUUCUACUUAGUAUUUAAAUAGAUAAACAUAUGUAAAUUCGUUGCACAUAUAAAGCCUAAUUUGAUGAAUAAACUUUGUGACAAUGUUUAAUCCUGACCUUCUCUAGAAGAGCUUCUGUUUCAGGUUUCUCCUCUUCAACAAUUAGUUCUUUAGGUGUCUUUUCAACCGUUGGUUCUUCAGUUUUCUCUUCAAGUGCUAAUUCUUCAGGUGUUUCCUCCCCUUCUAGCUCUUCAGGUGUUUCUUCAGCCGCUGGUUCUUGAGGUUCCUCCUCAACCACUGGUUCUUCAGGUUUCUCCUUAACCGCUGGUACAUCAAGUUUCUCUUCAAUAGUUGGUUCUUCAGGUUUUUCUUCAACUACUGACUCUUCAAGAUUUUCCUCAACUUGUGGAGGGUGAGCAACAUCAUUAUUGGUAUUGCAUGGAGUUUCACUGCCAGUUUUGUCGUUUGAGUCUACAACUAGCAUAUUCUGCGAAAGAAUUUAAUGUUUCACUUAGUCUAUCAAUGAAGAAGCAGAUGUGAAUCAUUGCACAUACAUAACUAAUAAGAUGGAUAAACUUUGUGACAGUGCUUGACCUCACCUUUUUGGAUGUCUCCUCUUCAAGUGCUGGUUUCUCUUCAAAUAAUAGUUCGUUAGGUGUUUCUUCCCGUUUUGGUUCUUCAGGUGCUUCUUCAGUUAUUGGUUUUGCAGCUUUCUCCUCAAUUGUCUCCUCAACCAAUGGUUCUUCAAGCUUCUCUUCCAUUGUUGUUUCUUUAGGUUUCUCUUCAAUUGCCGGUGGUUCAGGUUUUUUCUCAUCCACUGGUUCUUCUGGCUUCUCUGAAACUGCUGUUUCUUCUGAUUUCUCUUCAAUUGCUUGUUCUUCAUGUUUUUUUUCAACUACUGGCUCUUCAGUUUUUUCCUCAACUGAUGCAUAGUCAGCAAUGUCGUUGGUAUUGCAUGGAAUUGCAUUGUCUGUCUUGUCCUUUGAGUUUACAAUUGGCAAAUUAUGCAAGAAAAUUUUAAGUUUCAUUUAGUCUUUCAACAGAUAAACUUAUGUAAAUUCGUUGCACAUAUAAAGCUAAUAUGAUGGAUAGUUUUUAUGACAGUGUUUAUUUGUCACCUUCUCCUGAAGAGCUUCUGUUUCAGGUUCUUCCUCUUCAAUUGCUGGUUUUUCAUCUUUCUUUUCAACAACUAGUUCUUCAGAUGUGUCUUCAACUGUUGGUUCUUCAGGUUUCUCUUCAAGAGCUAGUUCUUCAGGUGUUUCCUCCCCUGCAAGCUCUUCAGGUGUUUCUAUAGUCGCCGGUUCUUCAGGUUUCUCUGUAAUCUCUAGUUCAGGUUUCUCCUCAACUGGUACUUCAGAUUUCUCCUCAAAUGUUGGUUCUUCAGGUUUCUCCUUAAUAGCUGGUACACCAGGUUUCUCUUCAAUGAGUGGUUCUUCAGUUUUUUCUUCAACUGCCGAUUCUUCAGGAUUUUCCUCACUGUCUGGAGAGUGUGCAACAUCAUUAUUGGUAUUGCAUGGGAUUUCACUGCCAGUUUUUUCGUUCGAGUCUACAAUUAGCAUAUUCUGCAAAAAGAAUUUAAUGUUUCACUUAGCCUUUCAAUAAAGAUGCAGAUGUGAAUCAUAGUACAUACAUAACUAACAAAAUGGAUAAACUUUGUGAUAGUGCUUGACCCUUACCUUUUCCAAAAGAGUUACCUUUUCAGGUUUCUCCUCUUCCAUGGCUGGUUCUUCAUGUAUCUCUUCAAAUGCUAGUUCCUUAGGUGUUUCUUCAAUUACUUGUUUUUCAGGUUUCUCCUCAAUUUUUGGUUCUUUGAUUGUCUCCUCAACUGAUGGUACUUCAAGCUUUUCUCCCACGGUUGGUUUUUCAGGUUUCUCUUCAACUGUCGGUUGUUCAGGUAUUUUCUCAACCGCUGGUUCUUCUGGUUUCCCCGAAACCCUUGAUUCUUCAGAUUUUUCUUCAAUUGCUGAUUCUUCAGAUAUCUCUUCAACUAUUGCUUCUUCAGUUUUUUCCUCAACUGAUGCAUAGUCAGCAAUGUCAUUGUUGGUAUUGCAUGGAAUUGCAUUGUCUAUUGUGUUCUUUGAGUUUACAAUUGGAAAAUUCUGCAAGAAAAUUUAAAGUUUCAUCUAGUCUUUCAAUAGAUAAACAUGUAAAUGCGUUGCACAUAUAAAGCUAAUAUGCUGAAUAAACUUUGUGAGAGUUAAUUCUCACCUUCUCCUUAAGAGCUUCCAUUUCAGGUUCCUCCUCUUCAAUUGCUGUUUUUUCAACUUUCUCUUCAACAACUAGCUCUUCAGAUGUAUCUUCAACCGUUGGUUCUUCAGGUUUCUCUUCAAGUGCUAGUUCUUCAGGUGUUUCUAUUGCUGCCGGUUCUUGAGGUUUCUCUUCAGUCUCUGGUUCUUGAGGUUUCUCCUCAGCUGGUACUUCAGAUUUCUCCUCAAAUGUUGGUUUCUCCUCAACUGCUGGUACAUCAGGUUUCUCUUCAAUGACUAGUUCUUCAUUUUUUAUUUCAACUGCCGGUUCUUCAGAAUUUUCCUCAAUGUCUGGAGAGUGAGCAACAUCAUUAUUGGUAUUGCAUGGAAUUUCACUGCCAGUUUUGGUGUUCGAGUCUACAAUUAGCAUAUUCUGCAAAAAGACUUUAAUGUUUCACUUAGCCUUUCAAAAGAAGAGCAUGUGAAUCACUGUACAUGCAUAACUAACAAAAUGGAUAUACUUUGUGAUAGUACUUGACCCUUACCUUUUCCAAAAGAGUUACCUUUUCAGGUUUCUCCUCUUUCAUUGCUGGCUCUUUAUGUAUCUCUUCUAAUGCUAGUUCCUUGGGUGUUUCUUCAGUUACUUGUUUAUCAGGUUUCUCCUCAAUUUUUGGUUCUUUGAUCGUCUCCUCAACUGAUGGUUCUUCAAGCUUUUCUCCCACUGUUGGUGUUUCAGGUUUCUCUUCGAUUGUCGGUUGUUCAGGUAUUUUCUCAACCGGUGGUUCUUCUGGUUUCUCCAAAACCCUUGAUUCUUCAGAUUUCUCUUCAAUAGCUGAUUCUUCAGAUAUCUCUUCAACUUCUGGUUCUUCAGUAUUUUCCUCAACUGAUGCAUAGUCAGCAAUGUCAUUGUUGGUAUUGCAUGGAAUUGCAUUGUCUGUUGUGUUCUUUGAGUUUACAAUUGGCAAAUUCUGCAAGAAAAUUUGAAGUUCCAUUUAGUCUUUCAAUAGAUGAAACAUAUUUAAAUUCAUUGCACUUAUAAAGUUAAUAUGCUGAAUAAACUUUGUGACAGUGUUAAUUGUCACCUUCUCCUGAAGAGCUUCCGUUUCAGGUUCCUCCUCUUCAAUUGCUGGUUUUUCAUCUUUCUCUUCAACAACUAGCCCUUCAGAUGUAUCUUCAACUGUUAGUUCUUCAGGUUUCCCUUCAAGUGCUAGUUCUUCAGCUGUUUCUAUAGCUGCUGGUUUUUCAGGUUUCUCUUCAGUUGCCGGUUCUUGAGGUUUCUCCUCAGCUGGUACUUCAGAUUUCUCCUCAAAUUUUGGUUCUUCAGGUUUCUCCUCAACUGCUGGUACAUCAGGUUUCUCUUCAAUGACUGGUUCUUCAUUUUUUAUUUCAACUGCCGAUUCUUCAGGAUUUUCCUCGAUGUCUGGAGAGUGAGCAACAUCAUUAUUGGUAUUGCAUGGAAUUUCACUGCCAGUUUUGGUGUUCGAGUCUACAAUUAGCAUAUCCUGCAAAAAGAAUUUAAUGUUUCACCUAGCCUUUCAAAAAAAGAUCAUGUGAAUCACAGUACAUGCAUAACUAACAAAAUGGAUAAACUUUGUUA
This 4248-nucleotide long non-coding RNA is filed under the name Solanum tuberosum (potato). Its description in RNAcentral is "long non-coding RNA (STUB_LNC003301)". The record is from RNAcentral. Lineage: Eukaryota; Viridiplantae; Streptophyta; Magnoliopsida; Solanales; Solanaceae.